Molecule: long non-coding RNA, 901 nt
Organism: Rhagoletis pomonella (apple maggot)
Lineage: Eukaryota; Metazoa; Arthropoda; Insecta; Diptera; Tephritidae
Exons: 3
Source: RefSeq, a predicted model, not a curated record
GUCUCUCUAGCCCAGUCCACCUUCAGUAAAGUUCUCAAAGAAGUAACUGAAACUUUUGAAACUUUGUUGUGCUCAAGGUGGAUAAAUGCAUCAAUGGACAUCGAUGAAAGAAGACGCAUUUCACGUGCAUUAUACAUAAAGCAUGGUAUUCCCAGUGUUAUAGGGUGUCUUGAUGGAACACAUGUUCGCAUCAUCGCACCCUCUGAAAAUAAGCACCUAUACUACAAUAGAAAGGGAUACUACAGCCUAAAUGUGAUGCUGAUGUGUGACCACGAGCUUAGGAUUCGAUACGUUGAUGCCUCCCAUCCUGGUGCCUCUCAUGACUCCUUUAUUUGGAAUGGCAGUGAGUUGAGAACGCAUCUCACACAGCUCAGUACUUGCGAGGUGAAGGCAAUUUUUGGCUGCUAGGAGACGCCGGAUACCCUUUAAAACCAUGGCUUCUGACACCAUAUCGAAGCCCAGAAGAUGGCUCCAACCAAAUGAAAUUUAAUGAUGCCCAUUCAAAAUGUCGGAACUUAAUUGAACGAGUCAAUGGAGUGCUAAAAACUCGAUGGAGGUGUCUCCUUGGAGCAAGAGAACUGCAUUAUACUCCCAGAAAAGCAGCUCAGAUAGUCAAUGUAUGUUGUGCGUUACAUAAUAUAUGCAUACAUUUUAAGUCAUAUACAGACAUGAGCGAAAUAAACUCACCAGAGCAGAUAAACCAAAUGAGUGAGAAUACAGAUGUUACCUCUUUAACAUCGCCCCUGUAUUUGGCUGCAGCACAAACCACAAGAAACCGAAUUGCGAGCUCCCUUUAAAUUUUAUGUUACAAAAGCAAAAAACAUUUAUUUUCAUAUUUAAUUUUUAUAAGGAUAUAUAUUAAUUUCAUAUUCGUAUUCAGUGUUUUACAAAGGGAUAAAUG